UCUUUAACGUGUCCCUGCAUUUAUCUAUUUUAUAAGUAGUUAAUUCGCUGAUAGCCUUCUGUGCUUUUUAUAUCUAUUAGAGUUGGGGUGUGAUGGUUUAAAUAUGGCACAGUUGGAAGCAUGGUUGAACUUGUAAUGGUCGUAGGCUGUGGUCUGUUGCUACCUUCACUAUAUAUGUCUGUAAUGGCUCGUUUUCUUAAUGAGAUGAAGAACUGAAUCCUCUUGUUAUGUUUAUCAUGCUCUGCUGCUGAAUGAAGCCUGAGACGUUUUGCAGAGCUUGUUGUGCCUGCAUGAUCCUGGCUACAAAGAGAACCACUGCUUGUAUUUUUUUAGUGCUCCAGAGACCUUGCUUCUUUUCGAAUGUUAAGUUUAAAACUCGAAGUCAGUUGCCUGAUAGAUGAUGUUUUCUUUGCAAUUUGUGGCCCCACAUGUGUUUGUUUUAAUGUCCUGUUGUUUGUUCGUUCAUGCAUGGCGGCUCUGCGCAUUAGUUGUUUGUGCUAAUGCCAAGAGGUUGGGAUUAUGUUUGUUUUUUUGUGUUGUCUAAUUAACGCUCUUGUGUUUCUACUCUUUGGCUGCUGAGAUGUUCAUUUGGAUCAAGUAUUGCCGCUGAAGGUUUUUGUUCUCUGCCUUGCUCACAAACUUUUGUUUGGUCAAUUUGCACAAAUGUGGAUCAAAUUUGUAAGGGAGCUGAAACAAUGAAGUUACAGUCCUUGCUCUGUGUUGUACUGAACGCUGAGUUUUUUUUCUUUUACAUAUUGAUGUUUAAAUACAGUAGAAAAUGUGAUUGGCAAGAUAGUUAUACUUCAACAAUACUUCACCUGUUACCCAAUACUCCCUCCGUUCCUAAAUAUUUGUCUUUUUAGAGUUUCAAAUGGAUAUUUGUCUUUUUAGAGUUUCAAAUGGACUAUCACAUACUGAUGUACAUAGACAUAUUUUAAAGUGUAGAUUCAUUCAUUUUGCUCCGUAUGUAGUCACUUGUUGAAACCUCUAGAAAGACGAAUAUUUAGGGACGGAGGGAGUAAAAGAUAAUUUAGUCAGCAGUACUAUGUAGACUGGUUUAUUUUUUGUGCGUGACCCCUUCCUCAUCUCUAAAACAUGCAAUGUUCUCAGAUUUAUUUGCCUUUUUGCAUUGAGUUCAAAACUUGAACAUUUAGGAGGCAUUGACCAAUGUAGCAUGAGUACCGAAUACCUCUUCCUCGAGGUAUCUAACUUAUAAAGGAUGAAAGGGUUCGUAGUCACAACGAAGCCAGCCACGUCGCCUUUAAAUCGCUGCUGCCACCGCCUGUAAUUUUCGUUCCCCGCUGAGGGCAUUUUCGUCAUUUCGCAUCCGGGCGUAUAAAAGGGAGCAGCUCCUGUGGAGAAGACCUAGCUGCUCCUCCUCCCGCACUCGUGCGCCCCCUUUAUUCUUCCUCCCGCCUCACCUCUCUCCCCCCUCGACCCGCGACCCUCGUCCUGUCGCCGCCGGGACCCUCGUCCCUCUUGUCGCCGUCGCCUCCGCUGCCAAGUAGUGAGCGAGAGCAGCGAGAGGAACAACGAGCGAGCAGCCAAACCUUCAUGGCCUCCGCCCUCUCUCUUCCCCACCCCUCUCCCCUCACCACACAAGAGAAGAGAGGCAGGGAGUUGGACCGAUCAGGCGGCGGCCGGCCAUGGGACGGGAGGGCAGCGUUGGGCGAGCGAAAAGGAAAAGAAGCGAGCGACCGGAAGAAAAAAGACCUAGCCCGCGUCACCCCCCGUAACCCCCGCAGCCGCCUCCUCUCCUGUCGCCGCCGCCGCCUCGGCCUCGUCUCCACUGCGCCGCCUCCUCCUCUCCACUUCUCUCUACCACCGCAUGGCCGCCGCCGCCGCUCGCCUCUUUCUUCCCGUAGCUCCUGCAGGACGACGCCUCCCCAUCCUCCAUCAGCCGGGUCGGGCGAAGGUCGCCGGCAUCUUCGCGCUGCCACCUCUGCCCGUCCUCCUCUCUCGCCCAGCCACCACCGUUGCAAGGAGCAGGGAAGAUAGGAGACGACGACAAGAAGCAAUGGGUUGGUUGCGGUGGGCUUGAGCUGAGCAGGGGCCGGGUUAAGGUAGGUGUUGACGGCCUGGAUCCGUCGACGGGGGUCUGCCGGGCAUGGCGGCUGCUGGAAGGGCAGCAGCGGCCUGUGGGGAGUCGGCGGCACGGCAGCGACAUCUAUGGAGAAGAAUGGCCCAGCAGGCUCGUGUAGACAGGAGAUUCUCGGGGUGUUUGUCAAUUGGGCAGAUGGCGGCCAUCGGAGUUUCUUCAAUCGAUCUGGACAGGGCCACCACAGCGUACGCGAGGGCUGGAGGUGAGUGACCCUCUGGAGCCGCUUCCUCUCCCAGUUUUUUACUCCUUGAUUUUUAGAUCCUCUCCCAGUUUUUCACUACUUGAUUUUUAGAUUAUUUGAUAAUCUUAUUUGAUUUCUCAAUUUCUGGUUACCUAUGACGAGUAGAAGAAGAAUUUUGACAAAGGGUUUGAUGAAUAAGAACAGGUGAAUUCAAUUUGCCUUGAAUAUAGUCGCGUGUGUUCCCGCAUUUUGAUGUUUGAUUUUUUUUUCUGUGUAAGAGAGCAAAUGACAUGAUUUUGUACUCCUAUUACCUACUGACAGAAGAUACAUUUGUAAAUGAAGGUCUCAAUAAUGUUUGUUUUUACCUUGUGGUCUGAUAGACCAGUACAUACUGUUGGUCAUGUUAACAAAAGAUUUUGUCAUCCCUCUGUAUGAGCUGUAAUAAUAUUUACAUAUAUCUUUGACUGUGCAGAUUCAGAUUUUUCUCCUUCCUCGCCUCAUUGACAUGCUCUGCAUCUUCAGCUUGCAGGUUGUGGUCUUUCACUUCUCCUCUUGUUGGUUUGCUCUCUGGUUAAGCCAUGGAAGACACGCUUCGAUUACUUGGCUCCUCAAGGUAUGGUGCAUAUUGCCUCUGAUUUGCUUAUUUGAGUGUACUUUUAUACAGAAAAUUUCAUUUGCUUAUUUUCAAUUCUUUAGGGAUAUGAGAAGAGAGCUCUAUUGUUGGCAGUGGCUGCAUAAUUUCGACAAGUGAAUGGUUGAUCUUUGCUAUGUGGAUUGUGGACCGAUGGCAUAAUCUGUAUCUAAGGUUGGAGAUUCUGAAUUAGGUACGAGAAAGAUGACAGUCACUUUGUUUUCACUAUAUUAGUUUACUGAAUAUUUUUAAGGUUGGAACUGCAUGAUCAAAGUGACAAUAUAACUAAAUGUUCGAAGAAACUUAAGGCUAGACACCACAUUAAUUUCCUUUUUAAUUUGAAUUUAUAAGCAGACACCUGAAUUUAGCUUGAUACAGAUCCUAUGAUCCCUUGGAAGCCUAUAUUGUAAAAUUUGAGCAGUUCCCAUGACAGAAUUUAUAUUAGAACUUACUUUCUCUUUCCAAAUGCCCAUAUAUUUUGUUGCUCUAUAAUUCAACUUAUACGCAUUUAGCAGCGUAUCUUUAUCAUGUUAUCCAGUUCUUACCAUACCAUGUGGUAGCUAAAUGUGCUGAUCUACCCCUGCAGAAUUAGUACCGUUUUUCAGCUAUGUGUAAUUAAUCAGCUACUUCCAUUUUUUGAUGAUUAAUUUUUAAAUAAAGGUUCAGAGAAUGGCUUCUAUUGCCUUCCAGACCACCUGGUAAAGGAUGAAUAGGUGUUGGUUGCCAUCCAGAUCUCCGUCUUGGAUGCUGGGAGCAAUUCUCAAAUUGUUUGUGCAUGAAUUGACCGAUUCUCCUUUCUCUUGCAGAGUGUCUUGUUUAUCUGAGGUGGAUUCUUAUCUUCUUAUCCACAUGCUUGCUAAAUGUACAUUUUUCUUUCAUUUUAGCUAGAAAGCAAGCAGCCUUACACGAUUUAGAUAUCUUUUACAUGAACUUCUUAUGCAACCAGUAUGUUAUGAAUAUGCAAUGGCACACAUUGUUUCUUUAGUGAGAAAUUCCUGAACAUACUCUCUAUUGUGUUAUGGGAGUCUGAUGUACCAGCCCAUGUGGCUGAUUGUGUUAUGGGUGAUUUGCCCAAGCACCGUUAAGUUACAAAGUUUUGCUUUACUUCCAAAAAAAGGUCUGUUGAAACGUGCCUAUUGACCACCAAAAACCACUUUAUUUUUUGUGUAUGUUCGCCAUUUUAGUCCAAUUGUUGAUAUGCUGCCAACAACUUUUCCAUCCCCUCUUUCUUACUAUUUAGUUAUUUCCUCAGGCAAGUUGAUGGUUAUUUCUACUAUUGCUAAUUUAGUUUUGGUUCUAUCUGUGUGCAUGGCAUGCAGGCCUUCCCAGGAGAUGCAGUUCUGAAAUUUGUCACAGUUCUAUGGAUCUAUUAUUGUGAGAACCGAUGAUAUAUGGUGAGUUGUCUGACACCAUCAUUUCUCCUUUCUAGCGCUUGAGUUGACAAAUUUCAUGUAAUCAAAUGGAGUCCCUGCAUCUUAAGAUGUCAUCCAUUUAUCACAUGUAAUGUGUUGUUUCCCUUUUAUGCGCCAGAGUUCUUUCCUAUAUUCUGAGCAUCAAAGCCCUUUUAGAUUGUAUACUGGACAUGAUUUUAUCUACUUUAAUAUAUGCUUUAUGCGCGUCUGAAAGUGUCCACUAUGUUUAUUUGCUCCAUGAAUUUAACUGUUGUAUUUGCUAAGAAUAGUGUAAUUUUCUGGGUCACAAUUACCUUUAAACAUCAACUACGUUCUUAUUCCUAUCAACGAUCUAAGUAAAACAUGAAAAACCUGGGUUUUCCUUUGUCUCUGGCCAGUGUUAUAUACUUAUUCGAUACCUACUAUCCUCUAUAUAUACUUGUGUUUUCCCCCUCCAAUAUAGGUGCCUGGACUAUGACCUCUGCCUUUUGACGGUUGCUUUUCCUUUGCUACUAGGUAUUGUUCUUGUAUUCAAGAGUUUUGUUUCUACAAUUGCCUUUGACGUACCUACACAUCAAUCAUUUGCCAAAUUAAAACAAAUGACCUUCUCAAAACAUAUGCAUGCUUUCGACACCCUGAAGAGAUGUGUUUACUUUACCCGCAAACUUCUAUACACGGACUGUUUAAUGAAUUUUAAUGUGUGGUUGUGUGAUGUAUACUUCAGUAAAUAUUGCUUCUCCAAUUUACAAUAUUAUUAUGGGGAAAAUUUGACACAUAAAAAUGCACACAAGUUAUGAAUAUUUUUAGCUCAAUUGAUAAUUGUUCGUCAAAAGAGAUCACACAAUACCCCUUGCUCUGAAUUAUUUAGAUUGAAGCCAUACUCUGUGUAGACAUGCAGUUAUUUUUAAAGUAAAAGAAAAUAAUUAUUUACUGGUAGUAGGAUCACAGCGGCAAAUUACUGUGUCUCAGGUUUGAAAGCAGGUAGAAUAACGAGAAAGUUUGGAUACGUCAAUUUCUUUUUUCUUAUAUUUAAUUUCCUAAUGUAUGAUGGUGGAGUUGCAUCUCUUUACUGUCAUCGAGGAAAAGGAUGACCAAGCUCAGCAGUCCAAUCUUUGUCUUUGGCACUAGGAAAGUUGCCUAAAAGAUAUAUAAUGCCGGUCCAUGUAUUUAGUUGUUUGUGCCGCAGCCUGUGUGCUUCCAUUUGCUUUCUAACAUUAAUGGGGUACAUGUACAUGUACUAAGAACCGUUUGACUAUAUGUGACCAUCAAGAGAACUAAUAUUUCCUGUCAUCUAUUCAUUUCGGCCUUAUCAUCUCACUUUCGUUUGUUACAUCUUGUUCAAUAUCAUUGUUGUAUCAAUGCUACCCAUCUACCCUAUAUGCAUGUCGUAAUUCGUAAACCUUGACAAAAGCAAAGAACAUGCUUAAUCAAAAAAUUCAAUGAACAUAGGGUCCACUUGGCACUGAAUCUUAUAUUUACUAAUUGGAGGCACCUUUCAAGUCUUCUAAUUAAUCCACAUCAUCACAAUUAAUUAGACAGUUGGAUUAUAAAAUUAACGACCAAGAUAAGAAGAAAACUUGCGUAACACAGAUGGUUCCGGCUGUCCAAAAUAAUGGCAUAUGACACGGCCAAUGUGUUGAAACAAGAAAAAAAACAUCCAUCUGUUCCUUUAAAAAAAUGAUAGACUCCUUCCAUAACAACUCUCGAGGAUCUGUGAAACACAGUUUUACAUGCAGGAUCCAUGAAACUCUUCUGCCAAUUAAAGAAAGGAAAAACAGCGCUCCUUAAAGAAAACAUCCCAUCGCUCCUGUGCAUCUUUUCAGGCAACUUCCGCUUCUUUGGUCCAUUAAAACAACAUCUGACACGCGAAAAUUCUCUUCUGAGCCCGGUCUCAGCUGAUCUUGAAAUCAGAGUCGUCCAGAUACAUUAAGAUCCGAGCCAGGAGCUUUAUUCUCUUCUGUAUUUCCGUUGUACAGAGGGAGAAAAGAAAGCGGGCCUGCGUCAUUAAUUGCUGUGCGCGGCACGGCCGUUUGCCGGAUCAGGCUCGGUCGCACGGCCCGGUAAUAUUUCUGAGCCGUCUUGACGGCCCGACGACUUUUCAGCCAAGUCUCGUCUGCUGUGUGCUUAGGUGCUUUUUUUUAUGCAUGCAGAUAAAUCCGCCGUCUGCUGCUCGCAACCAUGCAGGCACAGGCACCCCUUUCUAAACAAUCUGUGUGAUGUUUACCCUGUAAGAAUUCCUAUAAAGAUGCCAAACCCGCGACACACAUUUCGCUAAUCAAAAUCACAAAGGCGUGUUACUGUUACCCACAUGCUGACCGAUGUGCUUCAUGUCGCGCAUAACAUGACGACAUCAAGUCAGUACUAAUCACCACAGCACACUAAGUACGAAACAGACGCACACACAGCAACUGCUGCUGUAGUGGCAACGACAGUGUUACCAUCUGCAAGGCACAAAGAAACUUACUGAGCCCGUCUAUGUUUGAUUGUUUCGGUGCAAACGUCCUCCUCAUCGGGUCCAUCAUGCAUCCGUGUCGUCGCCACCAAGGUUGCACACUGCGCUGGACUCGCUCCUAUCCGCCGAAAAUGCAGCAACCUCUGCGAACAAGGCAGUGUCAUUUGGAUCGUGCUUGCUGAACCUUCUUCCAGGGGAGGAGGGACCAUGAUCCAACUCCUCCAAGCAAGCGCGCAUUUUGAUCGUGCUUGCUGAACCCUUCUUGCCAACGCAUUCCUUACUCCAGCAGGAUUUGCCUCCAUCCAGAAGUCACCGGAACCAGCUGCCGGCGCCGCUGUGCACUACAAAACUCCGGCGAGAACACGGCACCUGUGAGGAAUGAGACCGAUUUGGUCGACAACCCUUGGGUCCCAGGCAUUAUGAUCUCCUAGCGGGCCCAGACUUCAACACGUGCCACCUGGACCGCAGACCUGUUCCGCGGCCCACAAUAGUUUUCACGUCCCGGGCCGUGGCGCAGAGCCUCGCUGUAACGGAAACACUCCCCGCCCUACAAAACUGGCCCACACCAAACGACGGUACACACUCGUAUCGCGGCCGUAUACAUUUUUAACGCGGGUUGCGUUCUGACGCAGCAGAGCGGUUUUUUCGCAUCCCAAGGUGCCUACGAUCGGCACAAAUUUCGGGCUCAUCUGAGCCCGAGCACCAAAACGCCUUGUCCACAUCUGACACGUCCAAUUUAAACAAUAAAAAAGGUAUCCAUCGUUUCUUUUAAAAAAGAGACAGCUGCCACUCAAACAAAAAAAAGGCAUCCUUACAUAACAGCUCAUCUAUGAAACUCUUCUUGCCAGCUAAAACAAGGAAAGGCAUCUGUGCCUAAAAAAAAGGGAAAACAUCUCCAUGGGCACCUGUACAUGGAUGGACCUUUCAAGCCUUCUCACUAAUCCACAUCAUCAAAACUAACUACACAAGUGAAUUGUAAUUGUAAGUCCAGGAUUUAGAAUACAUCGACACAACUUUAUUACGCAAGUUUUGGAGUCCUGGGCAGCCACAACUUACAAGUUGUAAAUUCUAGAGAAUUAGCUACAAUAAUAAUUCUUCGCAAAAAAAAGCUACAAUAAUAAUUGAAUCGUACGUCCAGAAUAAGAAUACAUAACCAUUAGAUUGUGAAUUUAAUGGUCAAGAUCUAUUAAAAGGCCUGCAUCUUUAAAGAAAACACCAUGAACAUAUCUGGGAUUAAACCCACACGUUCGUACAAAGAAAAAGAUGAGAGUCCUUCCCUUAAAAAAAGAUGAGAGUCCCCCACAUAAAGAAAAAGAUGAGAGCCAUGCCGUAUUACGACAGAAAAAAAAAACAUCAAUGCCCACGUCAAAGUUAAAAAAAAGUCCUGCCUUAUUACAACUCAAGAAAAAGGAGAGUCGUCCUUUAUUAAAACCCACAUGUACGUAAUGGAAAAAAUCCCCUAAAAAAGUGUUCUAACCACGUACCUAAAAUAAAAUUGAACAACUAAAA
RNAcentral lists this long non-coding RNA (8265 nucleotides) under Triticum aestivum (bread wheat). RNAcentral's name for it is "long non-coding RNA (TAES_LNC008053)". The record is from RNAcentral. Lineage: Eukaryota; Viridiplantae; Streptophyta; Magnoliopsida; Poales; Poaceae.